RNAcentral lists this ribosomal RNA (736 nucleotides) under uncultured bacterium. Its description in RNAcentral is "bacterial SSU rRNA". It matches the Rfam family "Bacterial small subunit ribosomal RNA", at positions 8 to 796 of the family's 1533-position model. The record is from RNAcentral.
AGAGUUUGAUCCUGGCUCAGAGCGAACGCUGNNNGCAUGCUUAACACAUGCAAGUCGCACGGCGCAAUGGCAGUGGCGGACGGGUGAGUAACGCGUAGGAAUCUAUCUCUGGGUGGGGGACAACCGUGNNAAUACGGCUAAUACCGCAUGAUACCUGAGGGUCAAAGGCGCGAGUCGCCUGGAGAGGAGCCUGCGUCUGAUUAGCUAGUUGGUGGGGUAAAGGCCUACCAAGGCGACGAUCAGUAGCUGGUCUGAGAGGAUGAUCAGCCACAUUGGGACUGAGACACGGCCCAAACUCCUACGGGAGGCAGCAGUGGGGAAUAUUGGACAAUGGGGGCAACCCUGAUCCAGCAAUCCGCGUGUGUGAAGAAGGUCUUCGGAUUGUAAAGCACUUUUGGCAGGGACGAUGAUGACGGUACCUGCAGAAUAAGCCCCGGCUAACUUCGUGCCAGCAGCCGCGGUAAUACGAAGGGGGCUAGCGUUGCUCGGAAUGACUGGGCGUAAAGGGCGCGUAGGCGGCUGUCACAGUCAGAAGUGAAAUUCCUGGGCUCAACCUGGGGACUGCUUUUGAUCGUGGCGGCUUGAGUGGGGAAGAGGGUUGUGGAAUUUCCAGUGUAGAGGUGAAAUUCGUAGAUAUUGGAAAGAACACCGGUGGCGAAGGCGACAACCUGGUCCUUGACUGACGCUGAGGCGCGAAAGCGUGGGGAGCAAACAGGAUUAGAUACCCCCGUAGUCC